AACGAACGCUGGCGGCGUGCUUAACACAUGCAAGUCGAGCGAUGAAACACCUUCGGGUGCGGAUUAGCGGCGAACGGGUGAGGAACACGUGAGGAAUCUGCCUUCCACUCUGGGAUAACUCCGGGAAACCGGGGCUAAUACCGGAUACUUUCAACUGGCGGCAUCGCCGGUUGAAGAAAGUUUUUCGGUGGAAGAUGACCUCGCGGCCUAUCAGCUUGUUGGUGAGGUAAAGGCUCACCAAGGCGACGACGGGUAGCCGGCCUGAGAGGGCGACCGGCCACACUGGGACUGAGACACGGCCCAGACUCCUACGGGAGGCAGCAGUGGGGAAUAUUGGGCAAUGGAGGAAACUCUGACCCAGCGACGCCGCGUGAGGGAUGAAGGCCUUCGGGUUGUAAACCUCUUUCAGCAGGGAAUAAGCGAAAGUGUAGGUACCUGCAGAAGAAGCACCGGCUAACUAUGUGCCAGCCGCCGCCGUAA
This 480-nucleotide ribosomal RNA is filed under the name uncultured bacterium. Its description in RNAcentral is "partial 16S ribosomal RNA". It matches the Rfam family "Bacterial small subunit ribosomal RNA", at positions 29 to 523 of the family's 1533-position model. The record is from RNAcentral.